Molecule: transfer RNA, 72 nt
Filed under: Sus scrofa (pig)
Lineage: Eukaryota; Metazoa; Chordata; Mammalia; Artiodactyla; Suidae
Rfam family: tRNA
About the family: Transfer RNA (tRNA) molecules are approximately 80 nucleotides in length. Their secondary structure includes four short double-helical elements and three loops (D, anti-codon, and T loops). Further hydrogen bonds mediate the characteristic L-shaped molecular structure. tRNAs have two regions of fundamental functional importance: the anti-codon, which is responsible for specific mRNA codon recognition, and the 3' end, to which the tRNAs corresponding amino acid is attached (by aminoacyl-tRNA synthetases). tRNAs cope with the degeneracy of the genetic code in two manners: having more than one tRNA (with a specific anti-codon) for a particular amino acid; and 'wobble' base-pairing, i.e. permitting non-standard base-pairing at the 3rd anti-codon position.
Source: Rfam by way of RNAcentral
UCCCUGGUAGUCUAGUGGUUAGGACGCGGCACUUUUACCGUUGUAGCCUGGGUUCAGUCCCAGGUCUGGGAA